UCGGGAAUUUUGGGCAAUGGGCGAAAGCCUGACCCAGCAACGCCGCGUGAAGGAUGAAGUAUUUCGGUAUGUAAACUUCGAAAGAAUAGGAAGAAUAAAUGACGGUACUAUUUAUAAGGUCCGGCUAACUACGUGCCAGCAGCCGCGGUAAUACGUAGGGACCAAGCGUUGCUCGGAUUUACUGGGCGUAAAGGGCGCGUAGGCGGCGUGGUAAGUCACUUGUGAAAUCUCCGAGCUUAACUCGGAACGGUCAAGUGAUACUGCUGUGCUAGAGUACAGAAGGGGCAAUCGGAAUUCUUGGUGUAGCGGUGAAAUGCGUAGAUAUCAAGAGGAACACCUGAGGUGAAGACGGGUUGCUGGGCUGACACUGACGCUGAGGCGCGAAAGCCAGGGGAGCAAACGGGAUUAGAUACCCACGUAGUCCCUGAGCGGGCUGGCAAGGCGCAU
Molecule: ribosomal RNA, 447 nt
Filed under: uncultured bacterium
Lineage: Bacteria
Description: bacterial SSU rRNA
Rfam family: Bacterial small subunit ribosomal RNA
Source: RNAcentral